CCUACGGGAGGCAGCAGUGGGGAAUCUUGCACAAUGGGCGCAAGCCUGAUGCAGCGACGCCGCGUGAGGGAUGACGGCCUUCGGGUUGUAAACCUCUUUCGACUCAGACGAAGCGCAAGUGACGGUAUGAGUAGAAGAAGCACCGGCUAACUACGUGCCAGCAGCCGCGGUAAU
RNAcentral lists this ribosomal RNA (174 nucleotides) under uncultured bacterium. RNAcentral describes it as "partial 16S rRNA". It matches the Rfam family "Bacterial small subunit ribosomal RNA", at positions 338 to 524 of the family's 1533-position model. The record is from RNAcentral.